GGUGGACAACAUCCAGGCUUCAGAGUUGGCAGAGGGUGUGUGGCGGCGUGUGGCACUCGGUCACGGCCUCAAGCUUCUCACCAAGAAUGGCCAUGUCUACAAAUACGAUGGUUUCCGGGAAUCGGAGUUUGAUAAGCUCUCAGAUUUCUUCAAGGCACACUAUCGUCUGGAGCUGGCUGAGAAGGACCUGUGUGUGAAGGGUUGGAACUGGGGCACGGUGAGGUUUG
Meleagris gallopavo (turkey) is the source of this 227-nucleotide non-coding RNA. NCBI's taxonomy places the organism in Eukaryota, Metazoa, Chordata, Aves, Galliformes, Phasianidae. The record is from RefSeq and is a predicted model, not a curated record.